RNAcentral lists this ribosomal RNA (497 nucleotides) under uncultured bacterium. Its description in RNAcentral is "partial 16S ribosomal RNA". It matches the Rfam family "Bacterial small subunit ribosomal RNA", at positions 28 to 507 of the family's 1533-position model. The record is from RNAcentral.
GAUGAACGCUGGCGGCGUGACUAAUACAUGCAAGUCGAGCGAACGGACGAGAGGCUUGCUUCUCUGAUGUUAGCGGCGGACGGGUGAGUAACACGUGGAUAACCUACCUAUAAGACUGGGAUAACUUCGGGAAACCGGAGCUAAUACCGGAUAAUAUUUUGAACCGCAUGGUUCAAAAGUGAAAGACGGUCUUGCUGUCACUUAUAGAUGGAUCCGCGCUGCAUUAGCUAGUUGGUAAGGUAACGGCUUACCAAGGCAACGAUGCAUAGCCGACCUGAGAGGGUGAUCGGCCACACUGGAACUGAGACACGGUCCAGACUCCUACGGGAGGCAGCAGUAGGGAAUCUUCCGCAAUGGGCGAAAGCCUGACGGAGCAACGCCGCGUGAGUGAUGAAGGUCUUCGGAUCGUAAAACUCUGUUAUUAGGGAAGAACAUAUGUGUAAGUAACUGUGCACAUCUUGACGGUACCUAAUCAGAAAGCCACGGCUAACUACGUG